Molecule: microRNA precursor, 61 nt
Filed under: Parasteatoda tepidariorum (common house spider)
Lineage: Eukaryota; Metazoa; Arthropoda; Arachnida; Araneae; Theridiidae
Description: microRNA pte-mir-7 precursor
Gene: pte-mir-7
Source: miRBase by way of RNAcentral
UGGAAGACUAGUGAUUUUAUUGUUUGAUAUUCAAUUUAAACAAUAGAUCACUGUCUCCUUU